Molecule: ribosomal RNA, 422 nt
Filed under: uncultured eukaryote
Lineage: Eukaryota
Description: bacterial SSU rRNA
Rfam family: Eukaryotic small subunit ribosomal RNA
Source: RNAcentral
CAAUAGCGUAUAUUAAAGUUGUUGCGGUUAAAAAGCUCGUAGUUGGAUUUCUGCCGAGGACGACCGGUCCGCCCUCUGGGUGAGCAUCUGGUUCGGCCUGGGCAUCUUCUUGGAGAACGUUGCUGCACUUGACUGUGUGGAGCGGUAUCCAGGACUUUUACUUUGAGGAAAUUAGAGUGUUCAAAGCAGGCUUAUGCCGUUGAAUAUAUUAGCAUGGAAUAAUAAGAUAGGACUUUGGUACUAUUUUGUUGGUUUGCGCACCAAAGUAAUGAUUAAUAGGGACAGUUGGGGGUAUUCGUAUUCCGUUGUCAGAGGUGAAAUUCUUGGAUUUACGGAAGACGAACUACUGCGAAAGCAUUUACCAAGGAUGUUUUCAUUAAUCAAGAACGAAAGUUAGGGGAUCGAAGACGAUUAGAUACCAU